GAGACCAUCAUAUCGUUGCCCAUCUUUUAUUUGUUCCCAUGAUAAGAUCUGCUCACCAGAAAAACUCAGAUUGAUCUUUUAGCGGUUUUUGCUGUUAACCUCUCCAAAUUUUAAUUGUCUACAAUGGAAGUGUUCUAAUGCCUCACAUUCCGAUUAAAUGUUUUAGAUUGGAAUUAUCACCCGCUCACCAGAUAGCAUUCUUUCUGUUUAAGAUGCAUCCACCAUCUUCUCUGAUAAGAAACUGUUUCCUUUCUGUUGUCACUCUGUUUUUAGAUAUAACACAAAGUGGUUUGAGCAUUAUAAGAUUGUUCAUACUAAAGUACCAUAAGAUGGUACACCUUCUAGUGUUAAUUUAUAGAAUCCUUUUUGUGGUUUUGUCCUUUAUUUAUCUUCUCGGACAAAUAUAAACUCAUAUCAUGUACUACAUACAACGCGCGAUCUGAUGAACAGUUCAGUCUAAAUUUGUUGAAGAUGCAGGUUCAACUAGACAUUAUUUUGCACCAUAUAUUUACAUGCUAUGCACAUAGAUAUCAUAUGGCGCAAGGUAAUCGAGAAAACUCCAGAGCAUCACAUCUGAUCACGAUGGAAAGCACAUUAGGAUAGUAGGCUAGAAAGGGUCCUUAUUAUGAGCUACUUUCUGAACAAAUGUAGCUGACAUAGGUACAUGACUUAUAAAGUAUAGUUCCAAGCUUGAACGUUGGUUCCAGCUGC
RNAcentral lists this long non-coding RNA (711 nucleotides) under Oryza brachyantha (malo sina). RNAcentral describes it as "long non-coding RNA (OBRA_LNC002607)". Lineage: Eukaryota; Viridiplantae; Streptophyta; Magnoliopsida; Poales; Poaceae. The record is from RNAcentral.